GCAUCUUGAAAAAGAGGGUUGGGAAAAAAUGUAUUGGGAAAUGAGAGAGAGACGAUUAAAAAAUUAUAAAUGGGUUAGAGGUAUUUUGCUUUGAUUCUGUUAUGAAAGGGUAAAAAAUUGAUUCUAUUUUGUCCCUUAAGUUGCUUAGUUCUUUUAGAUGAUGCAAAAAAUUAGUAAUUUUUUUCAAAUAGACUGUCUUUUUCUGUUAAAUUUUUGCUGUUUUUUUUAAUAUCUAUUACUGAUGAUGAACACCAAAAUGCUAUAGAGAAAACAUAGAAGAUAAGAAUUUUGCAGAGAUUAGAAGAGAAGAGACAAUGGAAGAGAAAGAAGAAAGACUAAGGAGUGGGCUAGUGGAGAGAGAAGACAAAACACUUUUAUUUUAUUUUUUAAAAAAGUAAUAAUUUUUAUGUGUUGUCAAAAUUUGAAUGGGUGUGCCUAAAAGACAUGUGUUGGGUAUGUGCCCAACUAAGCUUUUCUCUGCAUGUAUAAAUAAGUAGCACAACUUGUCUUUACACAAAAUAAAGUGACAUAUAUAUGGUGAUCAAUAAUACGAGUUACUUUUUUUGUUUUCUUUUUU
This 577-nucleotide long non-coding RNA is filed under the name Trifolium pratense (red clover). Its description in RNAcentral is "long non-coding RNA (TPRA_LNC006552)". Lineage: Eukaryota; Viridiplantae; Streptophyta; Magnoliopsida; Fabales; Fabaceae. The record is from RNAcentral.